Symphalangus syndactylus (siamang) is the source of this 312-nucleotide long non-coding RNA. RefSeq lists it as uncharacterized. Lineage: Eukaryota; Metazoa; Chordata; Mammalia; Primates; Hylobatidae. The record is from RefSeq and is a predicted model, not a curated record.
AGAUUGUAAUGACUAUACUUAUACCUAAACAAGUAAUAAAUAAAUGCAUUUAGUUUCCUUACCUUGAGUAUUGAAUCAACAUUUGAAAACAAAGUAAUCAACCUUUGGCAAUUUGAAACAUCAAAGGACUUUGUGUUCUCCAGUGAAUGAAGGACAAAAAUUAGACAUGGAGACACUUGGUUUGGCAGAGCAGGCUGUCAACGCUCAUCUGGCAUAAGAUAAAUGAAAUUCUCUCUCAGACAGAAUAACUGAAUUCUGUGACCACUUUGAAGCUUAUCCCCAAGGCUAAGCUUUUCUGGAUCCUGUAGUGAC